AUUGAACGCUGGCGGCAGGCCUAACACAUGCAAGUCGAACGGUAACAGGAAGCAGCUUGCUGCUUCGCUGACGAGUGGCGGACGGGUGAGUAAUGUCUGGGCAACUGCCUGAUGGAGGGGGAUAACUACUGGAAACGGUAGCUAAUACCGCAUAACGUCGCAAGACCAAAGAGGGGGACCUUAGGGCCUCUUGCCAUCGGAUGUGCCCAGAUGGGAAUAGCUAGUAGGUGGGGUAACGGCUCACCUAGGCGACGAUCCCUAGCUGGUCUGAGAGGAGGACCAGCCACACUGGAACGGAGACACGGUCCAGACUCCUACGGGAGGCAGCAGUGGGGAAUAUUGCACAAUGGGCGCAAGCCUGAUGCAGCCAUGCCGCGUGUAUGAAGAAGGCCUUCGGGUUGUAAAGUACUUUCAGCGGGGAGGAAGGGAGUAAAGCUAAUACCUUUGCUCAUUGACGUUACCCGCAGAAGAAGCACCGGCUAACUCCGUG
RNAcentral lists this ribosomal RNA (490 nucleotides) under uncultured bacterium. RNAcentral describes it as "partial 16S ribosomal RNA". It matches the Rfam family "Bacterial small subunit ribosomal RNA", at positions 30 to 507 of the family's 1533-position model. The record is from RNAcentral.